Prunus avium (sweet cherry) is the source of this 1313-nucleotide non-coding RNA. The record is from RefSeq and is a predicted model, not a curated record. NCBI's taxonomy places the organism in Eukaryota, Viridiplantae, Streptophyta, Magnoliopsida, Rosales, Rosaceae.
GAGAGACUGAGGGCUUCAUCUUCAUCAGUGGGAGACUACUGUAACUGGGGUUUGCAAGCACUUGUCUCCCUCGAACAACUUACAAUUGGUGGCAGGGGAAGUGAUGAAAUCUUGGAGACGUUGCUCAAGCAACAGCUGCUCCCUACCACUCUUCACACUCUCUGCAUCUACCAACUUUCAACUCUGAAAUCUUUGGAUGGAAAGGGACUUGCACACCUUACCUUUCUUCGAAGUCUAUCUAUUACUAGGUGUAACCGCCUGGAAUUCCUUCCAGGAGAGGCACUUCAACACCUCACUUCUCUUCAACUACUAUUUAUUAGUGAGUGUGACAGUAUCCAAUUCCUGCCAGAGGAGGGUUUGCCACCAUCUCUUUCUUAUCUGAGCAUCUCCAAUUGUUCUGCCCUGGAGAAAAGGUAUCAGAAUAAGACGGGACGAGAUCAUUGGGCCAGCAUAUCUCACGUUCCUAGCAUCCAGAUAAAUGAUGAAGUCAUCAUCAUAUGAUAUGAGUUCUCUCUCUCUCUCUCUCGCAUAGAGACAAACAAAGUAUUCUAUUGCUUUUCGAUAUUUCACUCUCAACUUUCAAAUCAAACUCAAGUCAGGACAGCACCUUCUCUUGGAAAGCUUUUCAUUUGCAAGGUUUCUUUACAUGUCAUUUCCAGGGUCUAACGUGAAGGAAGCUCCAACAAUCUCUUGUCUGUGGAGGAAUUCAGAUUCUAUCUCAGCAAAUUUUUGUGUGGAUUCUAUCAACUGAUUGAACAUCUUUGUUCACUUGGAAGACAACUUAAAUUGGAGCUUGAACCUUCUUUGUAAUAUUCUUUGUACUUCAAGUUGUUUGGCAUGGGCAGUUAUCUGUGUUUUCCUGGACUUUGUACUGGCCAUAAUUUAACAGGAACCAUGUAAAUGCAUAUCCAUUUGUGAUUCCACAAGUCAGAACUGUUCCUAUACAUCCAGUUACUCCUUGCUUCAAAUGGCAGAGUUAUAGGGUGCAAGUAGUGAAUUCUUUACCAUUUCAAAUGGACUUCUGUUGUAGUCUUUAUCUUCUGGUGUAGCCCUGUUGUUAAUGUGUUACCUACAAAUUGAAUGGUGUCCUUGUCUGCAAUCCCUGCCAGGACAAGGACUGAUAAAUACCUCACUUCUCUUUCAAACAGAGUAAUUCGUUGGUGUCUGAGGCUCAGAUUCGUGGCAGACGAUAGUUCUCCGAGGUCUCUUUCUCUUCUGAGAAUCAGGUUGUUAUUCCUUGAAGAAAAGGUGUCAAUAAGACCGGAUAAUAUGGGCCAACACAUUCCUUACAUACAGAUAAGUGAGGAGGUGAU